UGGGCACUCUAAGGAGACUGCCGGUGACGAAACCGGAGGAAGGUGGGGAUGACGUCAAGUCAUCAUGGCCCUUACGGCCUGGGCUACACACGUGCUACAAUGGUACGGUACAAAGGGUUGCCAAGCCGCGAGGUGGAGCUAAUCCCAUAAAACCGAUCGUAGUCCGGAUCGCAGUCUGCAACUCGACUGCGUGAAGUCGGAAUCGCUAGUAAUCGUGAAUCAGAAUGUCACGGUGAAUACGUUCCCGGGCCUU
Molecule: ribosomal RNA, 253 nt
Filed under: uncultured Pseudomonas sp.
Lineage: Bacteria; Pseudomonadati; Pseudomonadota; Gammaproteobacteria; Pseudomonadales; Pseudomonadaceae
Description: partial 16S ribosomal RNA
Rfam family: Bacterial small subunit ribosomal RNA
Source: RNAcentral